This is a non-coding RNA of Phrynosoma platyrhinos (Desert horned lizard), 72 nucleotides long. NCBI's taxonomy places the organism in Eukaryota, Metazoa, Chordata, Lepidosauria, Squamata, Phrynosomatidae. The record is from the annotation of a GenBank genome assembly.
GCCAGUGUGGCAUAGUGGUUUGAGCAUUGGACUUUGACUCUGAUGACCAGGGUUCGAUUCUCAGCUCGGCCA